GUAUUGAUUGGUGCUUGCAUCAUGAUUUACAUUUGAGUGAGUGGCGAACUGGUGAGUAACACGUGGGAAACCUGCCCAGAAGCGGGGGAUAACACCUGGAAACAGAUGCUAAUACCGCAUAACAACUUGGACCGCAGGGUCCGAGCUUGAAAGAUGGCUUCGGCUAUCACUUUUGGAUGGUCCCGCGGCGUAUUAGCUAGAUGGUGGGGUAACGGCUCACCAUGGCAAUGAUACGUAGCCGACCUGAGAGGGUAAUCGGCCACAUUGGGACUGAGACACGGCCCAAACUCCUACGGGAGGCAGCAGUAGGGAAUCUUCCACAAUGGACGAAAGUCUGAUGGAGCAACGCCGCGUGAGUGAAGAAGGGUUUCGGCUCGUAAAACUCUGUUGUUAAAGAAGAACAUAUCUGAGAGUAACUGUUCAGGUAUUGACGGUAUUUAACCAGAAAGCCACGGCUAACUACGUGCCAGCAGCCGCGGUAAUACGUAGGUGGCAAGCGUUGUCCGGAUUUAUUGGGCGUAAAGCGAGCGCAGGCGGUUUUUUAAGUCUGAUGUGAAAGCCUUCGGCUCAACCGAAGAAGUGCAUCGGAAACUGGGAAACUUGAGUGCAGAAGAGGACAGUGGAACUCCAUGUGUAGCGGUGAAAUGCGUAGAUAUAUGGAAGAACACCAGUGGCGAAGGCGGCUGUCUGGUCUGUAACUGACGCUGAGGCUCGAAAGUAUGGGUAGCAAACAGGAUUAGAUACCCUGGUAGUCCAUACCGUAAACGAUGAAUGCUAAGUGUUGGAGGGUUUCCGCCCUUCAGUGCUGCAGCUAACGCAUUAAGCAUUCCGCCUGGGGAGUACGGCCGCAAGGCUGAAACUCAAAGGAAUUGACGGGGGCCCGCACAAGCGGUGGAGCAUGUGGUUUAAUUCGAAGCUACGCGAAGAACCUUACCAGGUCUUGACAUACUAUGCAAAUCUAAGAGAUUAGACGUUCCCUUCGGGGACAUGGAUACAGGUGGUGCAUGGUUGUCGUCAGCUCGUGUCGUGAGAUGUUGGGUUAAGUCCCGCAACGAGCGCAACCCUUAUUAUCAGUUGCCAGCAUUAAGUUGGGCACUCUGGUGAGACUGCCGGUGACAAACCGGAGGAAGGUGGGGAUGACGUCAAAUCAUCAUGCCCCUUAUGACCUGGGCUACACACGUGCUACAAUGGAUGGUACAACGAGUUGCGAACUCGCGAGAGUAAGCUAAUCUCUUAAAGCCAUUCUCAGUUCGGAUUGUAGGCUGCAACUCGCCUACAUGAAGUCGGAAUCGCUAGUAAUCGCGGAUCAGCAUGCCGCGGUGAAUACGUUCCCGGGCCUUGUACACACCGCCCGUCACACCAUGAGAGUUUGUAACACCCAAAGUC
RNAcentral lists this ribosomal RNA (1386 nucleotides) under Lactiplantibacillus argentoratensis. Its description in RNAcentral is "bacterial SSU rRNA". It matches the Rfam family "Bacterial small subunit ribosomal RNA", at positions 64 to 1428 of the family's 1533-position model. Lineage: Bacteria; Bacillati; Bacillota; Bacilli; Lactobacillales; Lactobacillaceae. The record is from RNAcentral.